GGUGGUUUGUUAAGUCAGAUGUGAAAGCCCGGGGCUCAACCUCGGAAUAGCAUUUGAAACUGGCAGACUAGAGUACUGUAGAGGGGGGUAGAAUUUCAGGUGUAGCGGUGAAAUGCGUAGAGAUCUGAAGGAAUACCGGUGGCGAAGGCGGCCCCCUGGACAGAUACUGACACUCAGAUGCGAAAGCGUGGGGAGCAAACAGGAUUAGAUACCCUGGUAGUCCACGCCGUAAACGAUGUCUACUUGGAGGUUGUGGCCUUGAGCCGUGGCUUUCGGAGCUAACGCGUUAAGUAGACCGCCUGGGGAGUACGGUCGCAAGAUUAAAACUCAAAUGAAUUGACGGGGGCCCGCACAAGCGGUGGAGCAUGUGGUUUAAUUCGAUGCAACGCGAAGAACCUUACCUACUCUUGACAUCCAGAGAACUUUCCAGAGAUGGAUUGGUGCCUUCGGGAACUCUGAGACAGGUGCUGCAUGGCUGUCGUCAGCUCGUGUUGUGAAAUGUUGGGUUAAGUCCCGCAACGAGCGCAACCCUUAUCCUUGUUUGCCAGCGAGUAAUGUCGGGAACUCCA
RNAcentral lists this ribosomal RNA (569 nucleotides) under Vibrio sp. PASPS8. RNAcentral describes it as "bacterial SSU rRNA". It matches the Rfam family "Bacterial small subunit ribosomal RNA", at positions 574 to 1142 of the family's 1533-position model. Lineage: Bacteria; Pseudomonadati; Pseudomonadota; Gammaproteobacteria; Vibrionales; Vibrionaceae. The record is from RNAcentral.